UACGGAGAGGGCAAGCGUUGUUCGGAAUCACUGGGCAUAAAGCGCACGUAGGCGGAUCGGUAAGUCGGUUGUGAAAGCCCGGGGCUCAACCCCGGAAUUGCUUCCGAAACUGCCGGUCUGGAGGGCGAGAGGGGAGAGUGGAACUUCUGGUGGAGCGGUGAAAUGCGUAGAUAUCAGAAGGAACACCGGUGGCGAAAGCGACUCUCUGGCUCGCUUCUGACGCUAAGGUGCGAAAGCUAGGGGAGCGAACGGG
Molecule: unclassified non-coding RNA, 253 nt
Filed under: uncultured Planctomycetota bacterium
Lineage: Bacteria; Pseudomonadati; Planctomycetota
Description: uncultured planctomycete contains 16S-23S intergenic spacer region
Rfam family: Bacterial small subunit ribosomal RNA
Source: RNAcentral